Molecule: ribosomal RNA, 397 nt
Filed under: uncultured bacterium
Lineage: Bacteria
Description: partial 16S ribosomal RNA
Rfam family: Bacterial small subunit ribosomal RNA
Source: RNAcentral
AUACGUAGGUGGCGAGCUUUGUCCGGAAUUACUGGGCGUAAAGGGCGUGUAGGCGGUCUUGCAAGUCAUAAGUGAAACUCCUGAGCUCAACUCGGGCGCUGCUUCUGAAAUUGCAGAUCUUGAGUGCUGGAGGGCAUAGUGGAAUUCCUAAUGGAGCGGUAAAAUGUGCAGAUAUUAGGAAGAACACCGCAGGCGAUGGCGGCAAUCUGGACAGUAACUGAAGCUGAGGCGCGAAAGCGUGGGGAGCAAACAGUAUUAAAUGCCCUGGUAGUCCACGCCGUAAACGAUGAAUACUAGGUGUAGGGGGUAUCGACUCCCUCUGUGCCGCAGUUAACACAAUAAGUAUUCCGCCUGGGGAGUACGGCCGCAAGGUUGAAACUCAAAUGAAUUGACGGGG